This 490-nucleotide ribosomal RNA is filed under the name uncultured bacterium. RNAcentral describes it as "partial 16S ribosomal RNA". It matches the Rfam family "Bacterial small subunit ribosomal RNA", at positions 30 to 507 of the family's 1533-position model. The record is from RNAcentral.
AUUGAACGCUGGCGGCAGGCCUAACACAUGCAAGUCGAACGGUAACAGGAAGAAGCUUGCUUCUUUGCUGACGAGUGGCGGACGGGUGAGUAAUGUCUGGGAAACUGCCUGAUGGAGGGGGAUAACUACUGGAAACGGUAGCUAAUACCGCAUAACGUCGCAAGACCAAAGAGGGGGACCUUCGGGCCUCUUGCCAUCGGCUGUGCCCAGAUGGGAUUAGCUAGUAGGUGGGGUAACGGCUCACCUAGGCGACGAUCCCUAGCUGGUCUGAGAGGAUGACCAGCCACACUGGAACUGAGACACGGUCCAGACUCCUACGGGAGGCAGCAGUGGGGAAUAUUGCACAAUGGGCGCAAGCCUGAUGCAGCCAUGCCGCGUGUAUGAAGAAGGCCUUCGGGUUGUAAAGUACUUUCAGCGGGGAGGAAGGGAGUAAAGUUAAUACCUUUACUCAUUGACGUUACCCGCAGAAGAAGCACCGGCUAACUCCGUG